AUGGUGGCCAUCACGGUGCCCAUCUCGGUGGACGCGAUCCCUCUGGUGAAAUGCGCACAUGCAGCGGCCGCGACGGUGCCGAGCGUCGACCUGUCGGCGCCGGGCGCGGCGGCGGCCGUCGCGGACGCGUGCCGCGGCGUGGGCUUCUUCAGGGCGACCAUCCACGGCGUGCCGGCCACCCUCACGGACACUCUGGAGGCCCGCGCCGCGGCCUUCUUCACGCUGCCGCACAAGGACAAGCUGGAGGCGUCGGCGCGGCCCUUGGGCUACGGCAGCAAGAGCAUCGGCUGCAACGGCGACGUGGGCUGGCUCGAGUACAUCCUGCUCUCCGUCGGGUCCGGCUCGGUCGCGGCGGCCUCCCUGCCGCCGUCGCUCCGGGCGGCGCUCGAGGAGUACACGGACGCGGUGCGGGAGGUGGGCGCGCGGGUGCUGGAGCUCAUGGCGGAUGGGCUCGGCAUCGCGGUGGACCACCGCGGCGUGCUGCGGCGGAUGGUGGCGUCGGACGAAGCCGACGAGAUGGUGCGCGUGAACCACUACCCGCCGUGCCCCUGCCCCCUAGCAGCAGGGCAGCGCGGCGUGAUGGGGUUCGGGGAGCACACGGACCCGCAGAUCAUCUCCGUGCUCCGGUCCAACCGCACCGGGGGCCUCCAGAUCAUGCUGCCGGACGGCCGCUGGGUCCCCGUGGCCCCCGACCCCGAUUCCCUCUUCGUCACUGUCGGGGACUCCCUCCAGGUGCUGACGAACGGGCGGUUCCAGAGCGUGAAGCACCGGGUGGUGGCGCCGGCGGAGGGGCAGCAGUCGCAGCUGGUGCCGGUGAAGACGGAGUCAGGGCUGGCGCCCGUGAAGACGGAGCCGGGGCUGGCGCCGGUGAACGCGGAGUUCGACGACGACGACGCGGCCCUCGAAUGGGCGCGCCAGGACUCCAUCGCGUUGGAGAAGGCGCGCCGGGAGAAGGAGAAGGAGCACCAGUGUGCCGCCCUACGCCGCUUCGAGGAGCGCCGACGCGGCCGCGAGGAAGGCGGGGUCGUCGUCUUAUGCGACAGCGACGACGAUGACGACGUGCCGCCGCCUGUUCGCCAAGGCGACGCCGAGCAGGGGUCCAGCAGGGGCACCCGCGUCAAGGAGGAGAAGGCCGACGACGACGAUGGCGGCGACGACUUCAGCCACUUUCUUUUACUUUAG
This 1182-nucleotide ribosomal RNA is filed under the name Triticum aestivum (bread wheat). RNAcentral's name for it is "partial small subunit ribosomal RNA". The record is from RNAcentral. Lineage: Eukaryota; Viridiplantae; Streptophyta; Magnoliopsida; Poales; Poaceae.